GAUGAACGCUGACAGAAUGCUUAACACAUGCAAGUCUACUUGAAUUUGGGUUUUUAACUUAGGUUUGGGUGGCGGACGGGUGAGUAACGCGUAAAGAACUUGCCUCACAGCUAGGGACAACAUUUGGAAACGAAUGCUAAUACCUAAUAUUAUGAUAAUAGGGCAUCCUAUAAUUAUGAAAGCUAUAAGCGCUGUGAGAGAGCUUUGCGUCCCAUUAGCUAGUUGGAGAGGUAACGGCUCACCAAGGCGAUGAUGGGUAGCCGGCCUGAGAGGGUGAUCGGCCACAAGGGGACUGAGACACGGCCCUUACUCCUACGGGAGGCAGCAGUGGGGAAUAUUGGACAAUGGACCAAGAGUCUGAUCCAGCAAUUCUGUGUGCACGAUGAAGUUUUUCGGAAUGUAAAGUGCUUUCAGUUGGGAAGAAAUAAAUGACGGUACCAACAGAAGAAGUGACGGCUAAAUACGUGCCAGCAGCCGCGGUAAUACGUAUGUCACGAGCGUUAUCCGGAUUUAUUGGGCGUAAAGCGCGUCUAGGUGGUUAUGUAAGUCUGAUGUGAAAAUGCAGGGCUCAACUCUGUAUUGCGUUGGAAACUGUAUAACUAGAGUACUGGAGAGGUAAGCGGAACUACAAGUGUAGAGGUGAAAUUCGUAGAUAUUUGUAGGAAUGCCGAUGGGGAAGCCAGCUUACUGGACAGAUACUGACGCUGAAGCGCGAAAGCGUGGGUAGCAAACAGG
RNAcentral lists this ribosomal RNA (735 nucleotides) under uncultured Fusobacterium sp. RNAcentral's name for it is "bacterial SSU rRNA". It matches the Rfam family "Bacterial small subunit ribosomal RNA", at positions 28 to 776 of the family's 1533-position model. The record is from RNAcentral. Lineage: Bacteria; Fusobacteriati; Fusobacteriota; Fusobacteriia; Fusobacteriales; Fusobacteriaceae.